AGAGUGAUAGCUGGGUCAUGUGGUGUGUUUGUAUGUUUAGUUUUAUAGGAAACUGCAAACUCCUGUCCAGAGUGCCUGUAUCAUUUUACAUACCCACCAGCAAU
RNAcentral lists this microRNA precursor (104 nucleotides) under Marmota monax (woodchuck). The record is from RNAcentral. Lineage: Eukaryota; Metazoa; Chordata; Mammalia; Rodentia; Sciuridae.